Molecule: ribosomal RNA, 450 nt
Filed under: uncultured bacterium
Lineage: Bacteria
Description: bacterial SSU rRNA
Rfam family: Bacterial small subunit ribosomal RNA
Source: RNAcentral
UCGGGAAUUUUGGGCAAUGGGCGAAAGCCUGACGGAGCAACGCCGCGUGGGGGAAGAAGGCCUUCGGGUUGUAAACCCCUGUUGCGAGGGAAGAAGAUCUGACGGUACCUCGCGAGGAAGCCACGGCUAACUACGUGCCAGCAGCCGCGGUAAUACGUAGGUGGCAAGCGUUGUCCGGAUUUACUGGGCGUAAAGCGCGCGCAGGCGGUUCGAUAAGUCGGGUGUGAAACCUCCAGGCUCAACCUGGAGACGCCACCCGAUACUGUCGUGACUAGAGUCCAGUAGGGGAGCGUGGAAUUCCUGGUGUAGCGGUGAAAUGCGCAGAUAUCAGGAGGAACACCAGCGGCGAAGGCGGCGCUCUGGGCUGGAACUGACGCUGAGGAGCGAAAGCGUGGGGAGCAAACGGGAUUAGAUACCCGCGUAGUCCCUGAGCGGGCUGGCAAGGCGCAU